UCCCUAGUGCCGAAUGUCCUCAUUGGUCCAGUCAAACAUGGCCCUAUACUUCACUUGAUGGAAUUUCUCCAGCUAUAAUGGGAGUGUUUUGACUGCUGCAAAACUGGAAAACUCGAGAAGUCAGAUUUCUACUGGAUAGCAACAAACGAAUACAAAGACCCACAACCGAGGAGAGAUGCCUGCACACCUAAUGCAAAAGCCUGCAGUUGCUAAAGGAUGCAUGCAAAGGCCUGCAGGCGUAAGGCAAAGAAUUGCAGCAGAAGGUUGCAGGAAAAGACCUACAUGUGACUAGUGCAAAGAGUUGCAGCUUCUGACGGAUGCAUUCAUGCAAAGGCCUGAAGGUCUGGUGCAACUACCCGCAGCAGGAGACAGAUGCUUGCAAGGACUGCAGGCCUAAUGCAAACCCCCGCCGCAGGAGACAGAGCCAGAAAAAGGCCUGCAGGCCUAGCGCACGGAGCUGCACCCCCCAGCCCCGGCAGGCCUUCCCCGUGCAAACAGCUGCGACCAGCCUCACGGAUUCAGGAGGCACGCGCCUGGCAGGCAGAGCGGCAGAAGCCCGCGCAGGACCGCGGCGCCCCAGUAGGUGUCGCUGGCGCCCAACCUUCGUUACGGGACUUUCUAGCCCGUGGGG
This is a non-coding RNA of Pelodiscus sinensis (Chinese soft-shelled turtle), 631 nucleotides long. The record is from RefSeq and is a predicted model, not a curated record. Lineage: Eukaryota; Metazoa; Chordata; Testudines; Trionychidae.